This 699-nucleotide ribosomal RNA is filed under the name uncultured bacterium. RNAcentral describes it as "bacterial SSU rRNA". It matches the Rfam family "Bacterial small subunit ribosomal RNA", at positions 56 to 749 of the family's 1533-position model. The record is from RNAcentral.
UGCAGUCGAGCGGCAGCGCGGGGGCAACCCUGGCGGCGAGCGGCGAACGGGUGAGUAAUGCAUCGGAACGUGUCCCGUAGUGGGGGAUAACCCGGCGAAAGCCGGACUAAUACCGCAUAUGCUCUACGGAGGAAAGCGGGGGAUUCGCAAGAACCUCGCGCUAUGGGAGCGGCCGAUGUCCGAUUAGCUUGUUGGUGAGGUAAUGGCUUACCAAGGCGACGAUCGGUAGCUGGUCUGAGAGGAUGAUCAGCCACACUGGGACUGAGACACGGCCCAGACUCCUACGGGAGGCAGCAGUGGGGAAUUUUGGACAAUGGGGGCAACCCUGAUCCAGCCAUGCCGCGUGCGGGAAGAAGGCCUUCGGGUUGUAAACCGCUUUUGUCCGGAAAGAAAAGGCGCCACCUAAUACGGGGCGUUCUUGACGGUACCGGAAGAAUAAGCACCGGCUGACUACGUGCCAGCAGCCGCGGUAAUACGUAGGGUGCGAGCGUUAAUCGGAAUUACUGGGCGUAAAGCGUGCGCAGGCGGUCCGCAAAGUCUGAUGUGAAAGCCCCGGGCUCAACCUGGGAACUGCAUUGGAAACUAACGGGCUCGAGUGUGGCAGAGGGGGGUGGAAUUCCACGUGUAGCAGUGAAAUGCGUAGAGAUGUGGAGGAACACCGAUGGCGAAGGCAGCCCCCUGGGCUAACACUGACGCUCA